RNAcentral lists this ribosomal RNA (647 nucleotides) under uncultured bacterium. RNAcentral's name for it is "bacterial SSU rRNA". It matches the Rfam family "Bacterial small subunit ribosomal RNA", at positions 60 to 703 of the family's 1533-position model. The record is from RNAcentral.
AGUCGAGGGGCAGCACGGGUAGCAAUACCUGGUGGCGACCGGCGCAAGGGUGCGUAACGCGUGAGCAACAUGCCCUAUACAGGGGGAUAAUCCAGGGAAACUUGGUCUAAUAUCCCAUAGUAUUUAGAGGAGGCAUCUUCUAUAAAUUAAAGCUUCGGUGGUAUAGGAUUGGCUCGCGUGACAUUAGCUAGAUGGUGAGGUAACGGCUCACCAUGGCAAUGAUGUCUAGGGGUUCUGAGAGGAAGGCCCCCCACGCUGGGACUGAGACACGGCCCAGACUCCUACGGGAGGCAGCAGUGAGGAAUAUUGGACAAUGGAUGGAAAUCUGAUCCAGCCAUGCCGCGUGCAGGAAGACAGCCCUAUGGGUUGUAAACUGCUUUUAUAUGGGAGCAAUAAGGUCUACGUGUAGACUGAUGAGAGUACCAUAUGAAUAAGCAUCGGCUAACUCCGUGCCAGCAGCCGCGGUAAUACGGAGGAUGCGAGCGUUAUCCGGAUUUAUUGGGUUUAAAGGGUGCGUAGGCGGCCGAGUAAGUCAGCGGUGAAAUUUGCAGCUUAACUGUAACAGUGCCGUUGAUACUGCAUGGCUAGGAUUUGGUUGCUGUGGGUGGAAUGUGUGGUGUAGCGGUGAAAUGCUUAGAUAUCACACA